Molecule: long non-coding RNA, 998 nt
Organism: Zingiber officinale
Lineage: Eukaryota; Viridiplantae; Streptophyta; Magnoliopsida; Zingiberales; Zingiberaceae
Exons: 4
Source: RefSeq, a predicted model, not a curated record
AUCAUUUGCGCCGAUUCCUCUCUUCAUCUACCGCCACCGACCCUCCUCCUCCCCCUCUCGAAGUCCUUUUCUUCUCUGACGCCGGCGCCACAAGGGAACUGAUCGCCGAUGGCAGAGCAUCACCUUAUCUCCUCCACUGAUCGCCUGACGUUUACUGGUGGUUGCCCUUCUCUCCGGGUCGUUGUCGUACGAGUAGAGCUUCCACUAUGAAGGGGAAAGGUUGAGCCCUAGCCUGAGCUCUUCUCCUUUUUCCCUGAUCUCCCACCACAUCUUCCUCCACCUUUCUGCAUCAUCGCUGACAACCACACCCGAUGCUAUUGCCUCCUCUGCAUGAGGCCAGAUCGGUGAUGCCGUAGUCAUCGCUGUCGUGAGGGUGAGCCGUCGGACUCCUCUCGAUCUUGCCUGAGGUUGCCACCCCUUGGUUGUGUUCCAGCUCCUGAUCCACCGAUGCUGGGCUGAGCGCCACCUGAUACAGCCUCUGUUCGAUUGCCUCGACGCUUUUCUUCUCCGAUUAUCCUCUGCUUUUGGAUCAACCACCCUUCUUCCGGUAGCAGCUUCACAGUAGCUUUGAUAAUGAAUUUCCAGUAGCAGCUCCUUCAGCAAUGAAUUAAUAGGGAGCAUAUGAGGUUUAGGACGUUAUUUCGGGACGAGCGCUUCGACGUGGGGAUUGUUUAGCUCGAUCUACAUAUAAAGGUAGCAAGUAAAGGAUUUAUGGAGUCACCUUGAGAUCAUGUCCGUCAGUCCCAAGUCACAUCGAGCUUCUCCUUUCGUUGGUGUUUCCUUUCGCAUUUUUGGUCUUGUACUUGUUCUUGUAUUUGUGUAUUCUUUUAUAUGGAGUUUUGUUUUGUGGUAUCUUGUAUAUAUUUUGUGGAUGUUGUGUCAAGCCGAGCCGGCUCGCAGUUAGUUGUUUUGUUUCAUUUCAUGUUUGUUAUUUUAUGAUUUCCGCUGUGCUAUGUUUCAGCCGAGUGGGCUACAUUAUUAACUGUAUGGUUAUGCUA